GUGGCAGCCGCCGCGGUAAUACGUAGGGUGCGAGCGUUAAUCGGAAUUACUGGGCGUAAAGCGUGCGCAGGCGGUUUUGUAAGUCAGAUGUGAAAUCCCCGGGCUCAACCUGGGAACUGCGUUUGAAACUACAAGGCUAGAGUGUAGCAGAGGGGGGUAGAUUUCCACGUGUAGCAGUGAAUGGCGUAGAGAUGUGGAGGAAUACAAAGGGCGAAGGCAGCCCCCUGGGUUAACACUGACGCCCAUGCACGAAAGCGUGGGGAGCAACCAGGAUUAGACACCCUGGUAGUCCACGCCCUAA
RNAcentral lists this ribosomal RNA (301 nucleotides) under uncultured bacterium. Its description in RNAcentral is "bacterial SSU rRNA". It matches the Rfam family "Bacterial small subunit ribosomal RNA", at positions 505 to 805 of the family's 1533-position model. The record is from RNAcentral.